GCCCAAGAGAUCUUACCUCAUCGAAGCAAAUGGUUCGCUAAUCUAUGAUAGCGUGGCACGCUCGGUCAAGCUCGUGUGGUAUCGCAUACAUGGCGCCAGGCCACCUCCAAAUGCAUCCAGCCAGCUACAAAGGAAUG
This 137-nucleotide long non-coding RNA is filed under the name Mesocricetus auratus (golden hamster). RNAcentral's name for it is "Adaptive response 33 conserved region 3 (ENSMAUG00000004071.1)". It matches the Rfam family "Adaptive response 33 conserved region 3". The record is from RNAcentral. Lineage: Eukaryota; Metazoa; Chordata; Mammalia; Rodentia; Cricetidae.